AGUAUUUAUAUAUCCGGAGAAAGUUCUAUAGUAAAUUCUGGAGAACUUCGGUAUUUAAAUGUCAACAUUGAUUUGUUUAUUUAUUGCUUAGCUUAUCGUAACUGACUCAAUAACAAAUCUAAUCAUGUUGUGCACAGAGAAAAUAUUCUCAUUAUGUAUUUUUUUUCCUACAUUAUAUUUAAAUAUUUCAUUUGGAUUCCAGCUGUAAAUAUCAAUAUUAUCAAGUAAUUACU
Molecule: non-coding RNA, 233 nt
Organism: Tinamus guttatus (white-throated tinamou)
Lineage: Eukaryota; Metazoa; Chordata; Aves; Tinamiformes; Tinamidae
Source: Rfam